Molecule: ribosomal RNA, 440 nt
Filed under: uncultured bacterium
Lineage: Bacteria
Description: partial 16S ribosomal RNA
Rfam family: Bacterial small subunit ribosomal RNA
Source: RNAcentral
CCUACGGGCGGCAGCAGUGGGGGAUAUUGCACAAUGGGGGAAACCCUGAUGCAGCGACGCCGCGUGGGUGAAGAAGCGCCUCGGCGCGUAAAGCCCUGUCAGCAGGGAAGAAAAUGACGGUACCUGAAGAAGAAGCCCCGGCUAACUACGUGCCAGCAGCCGCGGUAAUACGUAGGGGGCAAGCGUUAUCCGGAUUUACUGGGUGUAAAGGGGGCGCAGACGGCGAUGCAAGCCAGGAGUGAAAGCCCGGGGCCCAACCCCGGGACUGCUCUGGGAACUGCGUGGCUAGAGUGCAGGAGGGGCAGGCGGAAUGCCUGGUGUAGCGGGGAAAUGCGUAGAUAUCAGGCGGAACACCGGUGGCGAAGGCGGCCUGCUGGACUGCAACUGACGUUGAGGCACGAAAGCGUGGGGAGCAAACAGGAUUAGAUACCCCUGUAGUC